RNAcentral lists this ribosomal RNA (1148 nucleotides) under Anabaena sp. 'WH School st. isolate'. Its description in RNAcentral is "bacterial SSU rRNA". It matches the Rfam family "Bacterial small subunit ribosomal RNA", at positions 122 to 1303 of the family's 1533-position model. Lineage: Bacteria; Bacillati; Cyanobacteriota; Cyanophyceae; Nostocales; Nostocaceae. The record is from RNAcentral.
GAAUUUGGCUUUAGGUCGGGGACAACAGUUGGAAACGACUGCUAAUACCGGAUAUGCCGGAAGGUGAAAGAUUUAUUGCCUGAAGAUAAGCUCGCGUCUGAUUAGCUAGUUGGUAGUGUAAGGGACUACCAAGGCGACGAUCAGUAGCUGGUCUGAGAGGAUGAUCAGCCACACUGGGACUGAGACACGGCCCAGACUCCUACGGGAGGCAGCAGUGGGGAAUUUUCCGCAAUGGGCGAAAGCCUGACGGAGCAAUACCGCGUGAGGGAGGAAGGCUCUUGGGUCGUAAACCUCUUUUCUCAGGGAAGAAAAAAAUGACGGUACCUGAGGAAUAAGCAUCGGCUAACUCCGUGCCAGCAGCCGCGGUAAUACGGAGGAUGCAAGCGUUAUCCGGAAUGAUUGGGCGUAAAGGGUCCGCAGGUGGAACUGAAAGUCUGCUGUUAAAGAGUCUGGCUCAACCAGAUAAAAGCAGUGGAAACUACAGAACUAGAGUACGUUCGGGGCAGAAGGAAUUCCUAGUGUAGCGGUGAAAUGCGUAGAUAUUAGGAAGAACACCGGUGGCGAAAGCGUUCUGCUAGGCCGUAACUGACACUGAGGGACGAAAGCUAGGGGAGCGAAUGGGAUUAGAUACCCCAGUAGUCCUAGCCGUAAACGAUGGAUACUAGGCGUGGCUUGUAUCGACCCGAGCCGUGCCGUAGCUAACGCGUUAAGUAUCCCGCCUGGGGAGUACGCACGCAAGUGUGAAACUCAAAGGAAUUGACGGGGGCCCGCACAAGCGGUGGAGUAUGUGGUUUAAUUCGAUGCAACGCGAAGAACCUUACCAAGGCUUGACAUCCUGCGAAUCUCGGUGAAAGCUGAGAGUGCCUUAGGGAGCGCAGAGACAGGUGGUGCAUGGCUGUCGUCAGCUCGUGUCGUGAGAUGUUGGGUUAAGUCCCGCAACGAGCGCAACCCUCGUUUUUAGUUGCCAGCAUUAAGUUGGGCACUCUAGAGAGACUGCCGGUGACAAACCGGAGGAAGGUGAGGAUGACGUCAAGUCAGCAUGCCCCUUACGCCUUGGGCUACACACGUACUACAAUGCUACGGACAAAGGGCAGCUACACAGCGAUGUGAUGCAAAUCUCAUAAACCGUAGCUCAGUUCAGAUCGAAG